This 516-nucleotide ribosomal RNA is filed under the name uncultured bacterium. Its description in RNAcentral is "bacterial SSU rRNA". It matches the Rfam family "Bacterial small subunit ribosomal RNA", at positions 15 to 518 of the family's 1533-position model. The record is from RNAcentral.
GAUCAUGGCUCAGGAUGAACGCUAGCUACAGGCUUAACACAUGCAAGUCGAGGGGCAGCAUGGAGGUAGCUUGCUACCUUGAUGGCGACCGGCGCACGGGUGAGUAACGCGUAUCCAACCUUCCCCCUAGUAGGGCAUAGCCCGGCGAAAGUCGGAUUAAUACCCUAUGUUUUCCGUUGAUGGCAUCUGACAUGGAACAAAGAUUUAUCGCUAGGGGAUGGGGAUGCGUCCGAUUAGGUAGUCGGCGGGGUAACGGCCCACCGAGCCUUCGAUCGGUAGGGGUUCUGAGAGGAAGGUCCCCCACAUUGGAACUGAGACACGGUCCAAACUCCUACGGGAGGCAGCAGUGAGGAAUAUUGGUCAAUGGGCGUGAGCCUGAACCAGCCAAAAGUAGCGUGCAGGAUGACGGCCCUAUGGGUUGUAAACUGCUUUUGCCGGGGAAUAAAGGUGGGGGACGUGUCCCUUUUUGUAUGUACCCGGAGAAUAAGGACCGGCUAAUUCCGUGCCAGCAGCAGC